GGAGGGUAUAGCUUAGUGGUAGAGUGCAUGCCUAGCAUGCAUGAGGUCCUGGGUUCAAUCCCCAGUACCUCCA
Molecule: transfer RNA, 73 nt
Filed under: Vicugna pacos (alpaca)
Lineage: Eukaryota; Metazoa; Chordata; Mammalia; Artiodactyla; Camelidae
Description: tRNA-Ala (AGC) (tRNA-Ala-AGC-233-1)
Rfam family: tRNA
About the family: Transfer RNA (tRNA) molecules are approximately 80 nucleotides in length. Their secondary structure includes four short double-helical elements and three loops (D, anti-codon, and T loops).
Source: RNAcentral